Long non-coding RNA from Myripristis murdjan (pinecone soldierfish), 342 nucleotides. RefSeq lists it as uncharacterized. The transcript has 3 exons. The record is from RefSeq and is a predicted model, not a curated record. NCBI's taxonomy places the organism in Eukaryota, Metazoa, Chordata, Actinopteri, Holocentriformes, Holocentridae.
CAACCUUGGAGGACAGCAGUUCUGUGUGGAGCUUUUCACUGGGUCUCCAUACUUUGGCACAUGGGGCGACAAUGAGUGCAGUGCCAUACGUCACUUUGUGUGCUACAAUGGUACAGUGAAUGGGAGCGCAACCUUUGUUAAGCCCAACAGCCAAAAGAACUGGACUGAAGCCCAGAGAUUCUGCAGGGAGAAUUAUGUAGACCUGGCCAGUGUGAGAAACCAGACAGAAAAUGACCUCAUCGAGAACUUGGCAGGUUCGGACUUUGUGUGGAUUGGUCUUCACCGGGAAAAUCUGUGGUCUGAUGGCAGCACUUCACUCUUUCGACACUGGAGCACCGGGCA